UACAACAGGAAAAAUUAGAAGUUAUGCACGUUAUGUGAUUGGUUGUAAUUAGAAUGUUAAUUUGCAAGAAAUUGAAGUUAGAUUGGUACCUUGAAAGCGCUCUUGAUUUUUAUUUCUUUACGUUGGUCAUUAUAAACUAUUUGUUACGAUGGGGAAAAAGUUUAUAUACAGUACAACUAUAUAUUAUUUUAAAUUUAAAAUUUCCAGUAAUUUCAGAAAUAUUUUUAAUAAAUUAUUAUUAUUUUUGUUUACAUCAAUGUGAACAUGGAAAAACUCUGUAGCAAAGUGCUAUUUUGGACAAAAUUCAAUG
This 310-nucleotide long non-coding RNA is filed under the name Androctonus crassicauda. Lineage: Eukaryota; Metazoa; Arthropoda; Arachnida; Scorpiones; Buthidae. The record is from RNAcentral.